CCUACGGGCGGCAGCAGUGAGGAAUAUUGGUCAAUGGACGAGAGUCUGAACCAGCCAAGUAGCGUGAAGGAUGACUGCCCUAUGGGUUGUAAACUUCUUUUAUAUGGGAAUAAAAUGUUCCACGUGUGGGAUUUUGUAUGUACCAUAUGAAUAAGGAUCGGCUAACUCCGUGCCAGCAGCCGCGGUAAUACGGAGGAUCCGAGCGUUAUCCGGAUUUAUUGGGUUUAAAGGGAGCGUAGGUGGAUUGUUAAGUCAGUUGUGAAAGUUUGCGGCUCAACCGUAAAAUUGCAGUUGAAACUGGCAGUCUUGAGUACAGUAGAGGUGGGCGGAAUUCGUGGUGUAGCGGUGAAAUGCUUAGAUAGCACGAAGAACUCCGAUUGCGAAGGCAGUUCACUGGACUGCAACUGACACUGAGGCUCGAAAGUGUGGGUAUCAAACAGGAUUAGAUACCCGGGUAGUC
This 460-nucleotide ribosomal RNA is filed under the name uncultured bacterium. RNAcentral's name for it is "partial 16S ribosomal RNA". It matches the Rfam family "Bacterial small subunit ribosomal RNA", at positions 338 to 795 of the family's 1533-position model. The record is from RNAcentral.